GACGAACGCUGGCGGCGUGCCUAAUACAUGCCAGUAGAACGCUGAAGGAGGAGCUUGCUUCUCUGGAUGAGUUGCGAACGGGUGAGUAACGCGUAGGUAACCUGCCUGGUAGCGGGGGAUAACUAUUGGAAACGAUAGCUAAUACCGCAUAAUAGCAGUUAUUGCAUGAUAACUGUUUGAAAGGUGCAAUUGCACCACUACCAGAUGGACCUGCGUUGUAUUAGCUAGUUGGUGGGGUAACGGCUCACCAAGGCGACGAUACAUAGCCGACCUGAGAGGGUGAUCGGCCACACUGGGACUGAGACACGGCCCAGACUCCUACGGGAGGCAGCAGUAGGGAAUCUUCGGCAAUGGACGGAAGUCUGACCGAGCAACGCCGCGUGAGUGAAGAAGGUUUUCGGAUCGUAAAGCUCUGUUGUAAGAGAAGAACGAGUGUGAGAGUGGAAAGUUCACACUGUGACGGUAUCUUACCAGAAAGGGACGGCUAACUACGU
This 494-nucleotide ribosomal RNA is filed under the name uncultured bacterium. Its description in RNAcentral is "partial 16S ribosomal RNA". It matches the Rfam family "Bacterial small subunit ribosomal RNA", at positions 28 to 506 of the family's 1533-position model. The record is from RNAcentral.